Gallus gallus (chicken) is the source of this 272-nucleotide long non-coding RNA. Lineage: Eukaryota; Metazoa; Chordata; Aves; Galliformes; Phasianidae. The record is from Ensembl.
UGAAAAAGGCUGAGGAGCAACUUGAUUGCAUGGAAUCUACGCAUGCAGGGAAGCAGUUGCACUUGUCCUUGUGGGGUCAGCACUGUGGAGUUCGUGGGCAAUUUUGGAAGCAUUAAUGUUGUGUAAGCAGUGAAGAUGGAAAGCAGACACGGCAGCUGGCAAAGAGGGAUCCUCCUGCCAAUCCUUGCACUGGUGUCCCUGCCAUGGUACAUACCCAUUGCAUGGGCCUGCUCAUUUCCAAUGAAGACUCUUGAAACUUCUUGAUAUCCAGG